This 75-nucleotide transfer RNA is filed under the name Microcaldota archaeon. RNAcentral describes it as "Candidatus Micrarchaeota archaeon (hot springs metagenome) tRNA-Glu". It matches the Rfam family "tRNA". Rfam says of the family: Transfer RNA (tRNA) molecules are approximately 80 nucleotides in length. The record is from RNAcentral. Lineage: Archaea; Nanobdellati; Microcaldota.
GCUCCCAUCGUCUAGCCCGGUCAAGGACGUAGCCCUCUCAAGGCUAAAGCGCGGGUUCAAAUCCCGCUGGGAGCG